GACGAACGCUGGCGGCGUGCCUAAUACAUGCAAGUAGAACGCACAGUUUAUACCGUAGCUUGCUACACCAUAGACUGUGAGUUGCGAACGGGUGAGUAACGCGUAGGUAACCUGCCUGGUAGCGGGGGAUAACUAUUGGAAACGAUAGCUAAUACCGCAUAAUAUUGAUUAUUGCAUGAUAAUUGAUUGAAAGAUGCUAUUGCAUCACUACUAGAUGGACCUGCGUUGUAUUAGCUAGUAGGUGAGGUAACGGCUCACCUAGGCGACGAUACAUAGCCGACCUGAGAGGGUGAUCGGCCACCCUGGGACUGAGACACGGCCCAGACUCCUACGGGAGGCAGCAGUAGGGAAUCUUCGGCAAUGGACGAAAGUCUGACCGAGCAACGCCGCGUGAGUGAAGAAGGUUUUCGGAUCGUAAAGCUCUGUUGUAAGAGAAGAACGGGUGUGAGAGUGGAAAGUUCACACUGUGACGGUAGCUUACCAGAAAGGGACGGCUAACUACGUG
Molecule: ribosomal RNA, 505 nt
Filed under: uncultured bacterium
Lineage: Bacteria
Description: partial 16S ribosomal RNA
Rfam family: Bacterial small subunit ribosomal RNA
Source: RNAcentral